This is a long non-coding RNA of Amphibalanus amphitrite, 351 nucleotides long. RefSeq lists it as uncharacterized. The record is from RefSeq and is a predicted model, not a curated record. The transcript has 3 exons. Lineage: Eukaryota; Metazoa; Arthropoda; Thecostraca; Balanomorpha; Balanidae.
CGGGUAUCCCCCGUCCAGGUGGUUAUUGUCAAGUUAGAGAUGGUGGUAACAACAGAGGUCACCGUGGUGAUGCCACGGCUCAGCGCAGCACAAUGUGACGAAAACACUCAACAGUCGUCCGUCGCAAGACUGCCCCUCCCAGCUGCGUGCCAUCAGAUUGCUCACCGUCCCACGGCUAUCCAGCUGACACACCAGGACAAUUAGGGCCCGCCAUACAUCUUUGCGAUGUGCCAUCUGAGUCCUCGCCCAGGGCUGACUUCUCUGUUUAUCAUAACGUCAAGAUACGCCUCCAUUAGAAAGCCAGACUCCUGGGCUGGUGCGGUGAGCUUGUGAAACAAAUAAUUUGUUUAC